Long non-coding RNA from Corythoichthys intestinalis (scribbled pipefish), 465 nucleotides. RefSeq lists it as uncharacterized. Lineage: Eukaryota; Metazoa; Chordata; Actinopteri; Syngnathiformes; Syngnathidae. The record is from RefSeq and is a predicted model, not a curated record. The transcript has 4 exons.
CAAAGAUUUGUGGCCAUCCUGUUAAAAUUGAGGCCAAAACGACAUCAGGUGCCAGUAUUGGUUCAACGGGAAUGUGAUUCGUGUAUCUAACGCGAUCAAAGGAUUUAUUUGUCAAAAUCGUGACCAGCCACAAAAUGGUCAUUGUGCAGAUUAUAAAGUUCGUUUCUUGUGCCCUCAUGAGUUUUGCAAACCAAAAGAAUGCUGGACUCCAUGGUUUGAUCGGGACAACCCCAGUGGCAAUGGAGACUAUGAAAUACUUCCUAGGCUGCGCAAAGAAAACCCAUCAGAGAUUUGUGACCAUCCUAUUAAAAUUGAGGCCAAAACAACAUCUGGUGCCAGUGUUGGUUCAACAGGGAAUGUGAUUCAUGUAUCUGACACGACCACAGGAUUUAUUUGUCAAAAUCGUGACCAGUCCCAAAAUGGUCGUUGUGCGGAUUAUAAAGUUCGUUUCUUCUGUCCCCUUGA